Molecule: non-coding RNA, 11141 nt
Organism: Equus caballus (horse)
Lineage: Eukaryota; Metazoa; Chordata; Mammalia; Perissodactyla; Equidae
Source: RefSeq, a predicted model, not a curated record
UUACUAGCUAUGUGUCCUUGGGUAAGCUACUUAACUUCUCUGUGCCUCAGUUUCCCUCAUCUGUACCAUAGGGUUAAUAUCUGUGGGAGAGAAUGUACCUAAAGCACUUAGAACAGUUUGAGGCCCAUGGUGGAUAUUUGAUGGAGGUCAAUGCUCAUGUUGAAGGUGCUGAACUGGGUGCGGAGGUACAGAGAAAGAGAAUACGUGGUUCUCCGCCUCACCCAAGUCCAGGACAGGUCCCCAGUGGAGCUUGGUGUCUCACCUUCCUCCCAGAGUCCCACUUUGGUCCCCAGAUUCAAUGAUAGCAAACACCGAGCUUUGUACCCUCAUUCGCCACCCAUGUUCCCCAGCCUUUCCCACAUCUCCUUUAUUUUCAUUAAUGGAGUUUAUUUAUAGAAUUUUAGAUUGACAGAAAAAAUUGAGCAGAUAGUACAGAGAAUUGCCAGCUGGCACACAGUUUCCCUAUUAUUAAUGUUUUACAUUAGUGUGGUACAUUUGUUAUAAUUAAUGAGCCAAUAUUGAUACAUUAUUAUUGACUAAAGUCCAUAGUUUCCUUAGUUUUUACCUAAUGUACUUUUUCCAUCUCAGGAUACCACAUUACCUUUAGUCAGCGUGUCAUCCAGGCUCCUCUUGGCUGAGACAGGUUUUCAGACUUUCCCUGUUUUUGAUGAUCUUGACCAUUUUGAAGAACACUGGUUAGCCAUAUCAUGAAAUGGCCCACUGCUGGGAUUUGUCUGAUGUUUUUCUUGUGAUUAGACCGGGGUUACGGGUUUGGGGGAGGAAGAUCACAGAGAUAAAAUGCCAUUUUCAUCACAUCAUGUCAGAGGUAUAUACUAUUGACAUGAUUUAUGACUGCUUCUGUUGACCUUGGUCACCUGGCUUGAAGUAGAGUUGAUCAGUUUUCUCCACUAUGAAGUUACUCUUUUGUCUCCUCUUUUCUUCCUACUGUACUCUGGAAGGAAGUCACCACGUCCAGCCCACACUUAAGGAAUAGGGCUCCUCCCCUGUUUUAAAAGGCACAAGAGGCAUUACCUUGUCCUGUAUUUAUAUACAUCUAUUAAAUGUUGGAGAUUUUGUGACUGUGCGUAGCAGCUGGCAAAGCAGGAAGUUACGUCAGUGGAAGGCUGAGCUCACAGCCUGAGGAUAGAUGCCCAAAUGGGGAUGGACUGGUUUUCUCCCAAAGCGGUCAAAGCAGUCAAAUGAGGUCAAACAACAGAUGAGAGGAACAUAGAGAAGUGGGUGGUGUCUGUGCGGGCAACUGACAGAUGGCCUUUCAAUGAAUAGAAUAUUAAUCUUCUAUAUGAUCUAAAAUAUCUUCUUAAACUAAGGCCAGUGGCAAUUCUUUGAGUUCCAAUGUAAUUGUCAUGCAUUCACUAUUAAAGGGGAUUUUUUUUUUUAAAGCUGUCAGUUUGAUUGAGGAGGAUUAGAAAAGAAGAAGCAAGAAUAUUUUUAGACAUUUUUAAAGAACUCAUUUAGCUGCUUCCUAAUUAAUCAGUCUGUUUUCUGAGAGCAAACUGCUGUAUAAUUACUAGGGGAAAAUUAUUCUUAAAGAGGGAUCCUGAACUGUCUAUAGGAAAAUGAAUUCCGUGCUGGUACUCAGAAAGACUUAACCUGCUUAACACGGACGAAGCACUUUAUUAACAGAGUGACUUCCCAUCAUCUGGUUAUUAAGGGUUAAUUGCAUUUUAGAGCCACUUCUCUGUAGGGAGUGCUGAUGAGGGAAGAGGAAAAACAAUCAGGCUGACAGGCACUGAAUCCAAAAUCCUGAAACUUCUCCCAGACGAGUCCUUCUCACUACAUUAAUACUUCUCUCCACAUUGGGAGCACUGCACUGGGAGUCCCAGAUAGUUUUCAUAGUAGGUUUCAAGGUAAAAUCUCCCAUACAAUAAAUGCCAAGUUCUAUUUAAGAAGCAAGCAAGUCAGCAUCUGGAAGCCAGUUUGCAGGCAGAUCUUUAACUUCCAGGAAUUCUGUUGGGGAUUUAAUGUUUCCGUAGCAACAUUUUGUUGUGGCGUAAACUAAGUUUGAAGAAUGCUGCAGGGUUUGCUUCUGUAAUGUUGUGUCUCAUGUCUGUACCAUACGUUAGAGAGAGUCUCGAGAUUUUAUAGAGUGUAUAUAUGCCUGUUUUAAUUGUACUUUCUAACAUUUUUCUCAUGGAAACUCAUGUAUCAACAGAAAUUCAAAUCUUUCAAAUGAUUUUGGGAGGAAAAACUGUAAAGAAAUGACCGUCCCCUGUUCAAAGCUGAAAAUUUCUAUGCAAGGUAUUUUAUUUCUUCAAUAGUAAUACGCUUCCAUCAUAGGAAAAUUGACUAAGUUUGAAAGAAAAAUGAGGACCUCAUUAAAACUAUUAGUAAGGCUGGAAACAAGGCAGCAAUUUCUAACCCAAUGGUGCUCAGGGAAUGGCAUGAAUGUUCUUGAUUAUCCAGUCUUUGAUGAAGGAUGUAGGUCUUUUUACACCAUUUUAAUGGCUAAAAUUGGUUUGCUUCAAAAGAAAAAGAUUUCAGAUAUGAAAAAAAAAAUUUUUCCCAUCUACAUCCUUCUGAGACCUUUUUUUGGUACCCUUGACUAAGUUGCCUGCAGCUUCAUUUUUAUAGAAAAUUAGUUUUCAGCAGGUGGAACUGAAAAUCACUGGAAGAGAAAAACAAUUUCCAGCGGAGUUAGAAUUGUACACAUUCUAUGUUUUUACUAUUUAUAUAUACAUCUUCCACUUCUUAUGACCUAAUGUCGUAAUCUUUCCAUUGUGAUGUCACAAUCGCUGCGCAAUAGCUAACAAAAUGUUUAAAUCCUAGUGAUUCAGAAGUAAAAAAGUUGGACGAUUGCCCUGUGGACUCUCAUUUAUUAAAGGAAGGAUGAAAGAAACAUAAGAUACAAAAUUUCAUGCAGAUUUUCCCUCCUUAGAAAUAUGUUGAAAUGAACCUGCUCCUAAGAACUAGAGCCGCAGAUUUUUAGCUGGUUAUAUUACAGCUAACAGAAAAACCACCUUUCCAAGUCUCCUUUGCAGCUGGAUGCCCAAGUCUAUAAAUUCUUGCCAAUGAGAUAUAAACAAGAAUGAUGUGCAAGUUCAGGGAGGGACUUCUACAAGGAACGUAUUAAAAACUGCAUGUCAGAUAAUCGGGCGUUUUGCAAUGAGAUGAUUGAACUGCUCUGUGCAAUCCUCCUGAUGAUCACAAAAAUAGAAGAGAGGCCAGAAAACUAGAGACAACCAAAGAGAGAAUGGAGGGAUCUGUAGUCACUGAUCGCCCAGAUCGAUGGAUGCGUCAACAUGGCAGGAACGUACUGAUAAAGUAGAGUUGCCCGAAAGCCAAGUACUUAUGCUCCACUGAUGGAUCUAGAGUGCAUGACAAGGAGAGGAUUGUACAGAUCUACCUGCACAACCAGAAUAUUAUGUUUGAUUCGUGGUGCCUGGAAAAAAGACACUGAUAGAUUGCAACUCAUCCAAUGGAGGGCAACAAGGCUCAAUUGGAAACCAAAGAACCAAUAAAGAAUGGGAGGUGUUCAGCCUGAGGAACUGAAGGCUUGGGGGUGCAGGGGUUGUAAUUUGACAACUGUCCUCAAAUACCUUGAGAAUUGUCCCUUUAGAACGUUCUAUGUGGUUCCAUUGGCUGAGUGUUUUUCCCAAGGUUAUAGUGUUGUUCACUGGCAGGCCAGGAUUGGAAUUCAGAUUUCCUCACUGCUGGUCCUUGCAACACAGAUUCCUAUCCCAGGACUCUCCUGAUGACAGGCCACUUGUCAUGGUGCUUUUGGUUCUGGCUCUUGGGCCAUUGACAUCUCAGUGUGAAUACAUUGUUUAGACUGUUCAGAAAGAAAAGGGUAUGAGAAGAAGAGGCUGAGGGUUAGAGACACGCGUUCCCUACCUGCCCGCUUCCUCUGAGGAUUCCAUUCCUCUCCCUUCCCUCCCAUGCACUAUUCCCACUCGCUCCCCACCCACAACGAUACCCUGCUUCCUCCCAUUCCAUGAUCUCAGCAGCUUAUUAAGAGAAAAGGAAACUGUCUGAACUAAUUAAGAGGUGAUUUGGUUGUGGAUAAAAGAGCUCUGGAGUCUAGGAUCACGGGAUCUGAAUUCAUAUUCUUUUUCUCUUGCCAACUAACUGGAUGACUUUGGUCAAGAUAGUUAAUCUCUCUGAGCUCCAGUUUCUUCGAAUAAGGGAUUUAAAAAUUCCUUUUUGGGUCUAAAAUUCUGUGACAUCAAUUCAAGUGAAUUCAUAUUUUUCAGGGGGGUACUUUUAUCUCGGAGGAUUUCCCUAUAGGACCCUCCGGUCCCCUAAAGCUUCACACACUAUCCUCAGCCACUCAGGGAGCUCUCGUGCCCCACUUUUGUCUCCACAUUACCUGGGUCAUCUUCCCCUUCCCUCUCCACCUGUCUAAAUGCCACCUCUCCUCCAAGUUCAGUGUAGAGUUCUUCUCCUCUGAAGUGCAAUAGCUCUUACUGUCUACACCUUGCUUAAUUGGACACGGUCGUGUCUUUUGGAGCAGAGUGAGCACGUAUGGACUGACUGCUAAUCUGAAAGAAUCAAUCUGUAAUGACAGAAUUUGAGCAACCUGACAGGCUAGUAGGGGAAUUAUUUGAACGGCCAACAUACUCCCAAGUUCUGCAAUCGCGUAUGUAAGACCGGCCUUGGAAAUCCCUUGUCUGGGCAAGAAUUUUCGAUUACCUCAUAGAUUCCCAGAUUAGAUUAGAUUCUGGUAGAAUCUAAUCCCAUAAAUGAGAUUCCCAGAACAGUGGGAAGGGCUCAGGUCUGUUUACCAUUUCGCCAUCGAUUCUGCAAAUAUUUCCUGAGCGCUGACUUGGUGCCAGCCAUGGUGCUAAAUGCCUUACAUGAGUCAUCUUAUUUGACCCUCACAAUAAUUCUCUGAAGUACUCACUUUUAUUGUUCCCACUUUACAGAUGAGGAAAUAGAAACUCAGAGAGUUUGAAUUACUUACUCAAGGUCACUAGCUAUGAGUAGUUAAGCCAAGAGCCAAAUCCAGGCUGUCUGAUGCCAGAAUCUGAGCUCUUAGCCAGGACAUGAGGCAGCUCCCCACAGCAGGCACAGACUUCUCUCUCAUGGAGCGUAGAGCUCAGAAGGAGAGACCCCUGGUCGUCUGAAUACAGCGAUACUGUAGGGGUAAGCACAAGGGCAUGAGCACACCGCAGGCCCAGAGAAGGCUCCGGGGAAGAAGCACUAUGUGGUGUUUCCCAAGAUGAGCUGAGAAAGCCACAAGCAGCAGAGUGUUCUCCAGACAGAAGACACAGCAGAGGCCCAGAAGCAAGCGACAGAGGAGAGAGCGUGCUUGUUUAGAUAAGUGCAGGUGGUUUAAUAUGACUGCAGGAUAGAGGGCAGGCCAAGAAAUGAGGCUGGGGAGGUAGACUGCGGCCAUAGCAUAAGGGGACUUGUAUGCGCAUAUAAGAAAUUCGGGCUUUUGCAUGAGAGUAGUGGAAGCUGUUGACGGCUUUUAAGCAGGAAAUGAUAUGGUCAGAUUUGUGUGUUAGAAAGAGCAUUUGGUUUGCUCUGUGGAAAAUGGCUGUGGCAGCCCCACGUAGUAGGCCCCUUGCUCCUUCCUAAGAGAACCCCCAGCUUGUUCAGGAAUCUCCCUCUCCUGGGUGGCCAUGUGCAUUAGGGGAUUCUCCUGCGGGCCUUCCAGAAAGGUUUCCUCAUGCCUAAGUGAAGCAAGCACAAGAGAAAGGAUGGCCUUUCUACCUCUGGACAUUGUAGGGACUGGAUAUGACUCCGGAAAUGGAAGUAGUUAUCAAUCUACUAGCCUGAGGAUGAAGCUACCACAUGGGGGAGUUUGAGGCUAAGAGAUGCAGAGGGAAGUGGUGCCAGAGUACUUUAAUUUGCCAGGUUGGGCCUCUCUUUUGCCAUUGCUGCUACAGGCAGGCUCGGAGGGAAGCCUUGCUGCUGCCACACAAAAUCUCACUAUUGUCCGUUGCCUGGACGUGUCCCUCUUGCCUUUCCAGAUCCACUCUCCAUUUUUCUCCUCCCUGUUGCAGGAUGCAUGAGGCUGACCUCAGGGACUGCAUCAACAGGCUUACCUUCCUGAAACUUCCAGCCAGAUUGAGCCAAUGGGAGCACCAGCAAGAACACAGGGAGAAGGAGAGUGAAGCAAGAGUAUUGGUUCCUUCACCUCUUUCCAUUGGGGCCCCUGCAGAGGGCUGCACCCCUUGUGCAGGUUCCAGCUCCAAUUAGGCAACCCUCUCAGCACAGCCCUCUCGGUCUCUGGCUUCCAGUAACUGCUCCCUUGGGCCUAAGAUGGGGAGCAGUGCCUUACUAGCCCCAAGCAACUACGGUCUUCUUUGUGGUUUCUCUAUAGCUGUCUAUACCUUUGAAAAUAAUUCCUUUAUUAAACUCUACUCAAAGUCUCCCAGUGUGAGCUGUGUGUCAAAGAGAUAUAUGUCAUCUGUUUCCUGCUGGGAUCCUGACUGUACAUUUUUCGUUGUGUUCCUCUGGGACGUUUGAGAAGCAGAUGCCAAGACAAGACUGUGUGUGUGAGAGGCAUGAUGAAAAUCUGACCCUGAGUGAAGGAGAAUGGGAAGGAAGAUUGGAUGGAAGCAUUCUAGACUGCCGUGCAAUCUAAAGAAGGUUUGGCAAGGCCGUCGGGGAGUUCUCAAGUCAAAGCUGGCCAUCAGAGGAGUCGCCUAUCUCCCAGAAUGGGCCUGCCUUAGUCUUCCUGCUGUCCUUAGUCAUUGGUAGGGAGCAGGCCAUGGGAAGUGUAACCUCUGUGCAAAUAUGGCAAUGCAUUUGAGCACAACCACAGCAACCUCCCUGUGGUUGUGGUCUAUGAGGCCAUUCUCAUGGUUAUCACACUCAUCCUAUUAACAUUUUUAGCACCACGUUAAGGUUUGCGUGUUCCCCCCACAUCCUGUCAAGACUCUGUUUUUACCUUCCAUAUCUAUUCCCCUCCCCCCCAACCAAAAACGUUGUGUUAAAUUUCACAAUGUGCUUUCUCAGCCCAAUCGUGAUGCCAAGAUACCCCACUGUGGAAAGGCUGGCUGGCUGUCUCCCAAAUGGUCUUAGAGGAUGUCAUUUACUACCUUACAGAUUUACAAUCAUCAGCAGAUAAUCAGACUGGUAAGCUCAAAACUUGAUUUUGUCAGCACACCAUGCAGUUAAUCUCCCAGGGCAAGCGUAUGCUAAUCAUGUUGAAGAGGCUGAUGUGAAAAAAAAUCAGAGUAUCGAGUUAUUCCCUUUCUGUAAGAAAUCACCUUUAGAAGGACCAAGACCAUCUGAAGUCUCCAGGAUUAAUAUAUUAUUCCCCUGAAAAGGCUAGAUAAUAAUCAGGAGAUUGCUGUUGAGUGUGACAUCAGCUCAAAGGGAAUUAGAUAAGCCAAAGGUUUAUAGCAGCAGGGCAAGCUAGCCUAGUGCAUCAUUCAUCUCACAUAGCGAUGGUCUUGCAGGUAGGAUGUGAAUACUGGAAACGCAAUGGCUAUAACCUUCUAGAUACAUCGACCUGUUAGGAAUGUAUUACAUACUCAAAAUGCAUUGGCUAAGUCUCCUUCUCCACAGGACAGGGUUUGAACAAACACCAUUAGCAUUUAUCUCUAUAUCUUUCUUUUUUCUGUUUCCAUGGCUGACCAUCAUAACUACCACCUUCCCCUUGAAACCCUCGGCCCCCCACUUCCCACUCCCAGCCAGCCAGCCCAAGAGCCUUGGAAGGCAUACUGCCUUUUUUUUAUUGACCUUUAACAUCUAAUCCGGUAUAUACUGGUAUUAAAGUUUAAGACUCAAAAAGCUAGUCCCGUUUCUCCCAUUUCCAAAUAUUAUAUCAUGAAUAGUCAAAUUUUCUUUUUUCAGGGUCCUGAGCUAGAAAGAGGAACCUCAUGAUAUAUUCCUAGGUCCACUUGGUUUUCAAUUCUGGCAGAAGGCACCCUCCAACUAUGUUUCUUUUCCCCACUAGUGGGAUCUCAGUGGUUCUUUUUCCCAGGGGUGUCUGGGAAGAACAGAGGAACCAUCUAGAAAUCCUAGCCGUAGCUGACUCCCCACUUGUUUGAAGGGGAAAUGCAGUUGACCACAUCCAACAAUACAGCCAAGUAAUUCCACAGGCAAACUUCUGUCUCCAGACCAGCUCUCCUGGCAAAGAGAAAUCCCUUCUCCCAGUUUGGAAAGUAGCUCCAGCCAUGAUGCCAGUCUCUCCUGAGGCAGAAACAAGUGGUAGAAACACAUGCUUUUCGGUCUUCCCCAGAUCAGAUUGUCCUCCAAUGUCCACCUCAGCCCACAUUGUUCUUGUAAUCUACUUAAUCCUUAAUCUACACCACCAGACUGUGUCAAUUGUUGUGCUUCUAAUUCUCCCACUCCAUUUUGGGACAAAGCAGCAAAAUGAGCCUUGUCCCCACGUCCCACCGGGAUCUUUGUUUGUCUGUUACAAGUCCACAUAUACUAGCUGGAGGGGCAUUUCUCAGGCCCAUUUCUCUGCCUCCUCAGACUAAGAACCAGAGAGAAAGCCACAAGGCUCAUUUGUUUUCAGUCAAAUGUGGGUAGAUCAGGGAUAACGUUCUGAGUGUCAGGAAACCCAAUUUCUAGGCUGCUGCACUAACUCAGCAGCAUUGUACCAACCACUUACUCCCUCUAGAAUGCAGUUGCUUACUCCUUUGAAAAUGGUAAUGGUGACACUUGGCUCCGCUUACCUCCAAGAGUUCUUCAGAGGUAAAACAUGAUAAUGGGCGUGGAAGUAUUGUAGGAGAUAUAGGAGACAGAAAGAGCUCUGCCAAGGCAAAGGACUGCAUCUGAGGUGGAUGAUUGAAAAAUAUUUUUUCUGCACCCUGGAGGAGUGUUUGUGUUUAAUGCAAGAAGAGGGCUUCAGCAGAUCUCGGCAAACUGAUCAAAAGAGAAUAUUCCCACUGACGAACUCCCUGGGUCCCCUCUAGCCACACGUAGCAUAGAAAUGUCUUAAGGGCUUGACUUCAUUAGUUUGGGUCGUCCAAGUCCCUUGCAUCUCCUGAGGAGCUUAGAACUUGACUGAGAAACACCUUUAGUUACAACCAAAAACAGCGAAGAGAAGUGUGUUAGUUAGGGCUCUUCUGAGUUCCAGAAAUAGUGAUCCAUCUCUAAAUAACCUGGUCAAGCAAUGGGUUUUUACUGGAGGUGGAUUCUCAUAACUGUGGAAAGGUUAGACGUGCAGCUAGCUUGGGGACUUGAGUUCUGCUAGUAGGCUCUCCAUCUCUCGUCUGCCACUCUACACUUCAUUCUCUCCAAAGGAUUUCUUUGAAGAGGUGUGCAACAUGGCUACCUUCGGGCGGAAGGCUUCCUACCUCACACCUUCACCUUCAAAAUGGAGCCAACAGUUUUCUCUUAGUUCCAGCUUGAAAAGUUCUGGGGAACAAUUCUGAUUGAUCUGGUUGAUGCAGAUAGCCACGUCUGGACCAAUCAACAAUGACCAGAAGGGAAAAUUACCACAAUUGUCCAAACUGAGUCAGGUCUCACCACUGAACCAGUGGUUGGAAGUCUACCUAAUCAUACCUUAUGGUAGGAGUCAGGGUCAAUAGUCCAGACAUGGCCACAGGGGACAACUCCAUGAUUUAGGGUCAUCUCUAGGAAAGGGGUCAUCACUGGAAGAUGGGCAGUCAGUCUCAUUGCAGGGACUUCAGGGAGCUUCUGUAAAUGCCUUCGUGUUUGGUCUUUUUAUCUAAAUCGGAGUCAUACUCAUCCAAUAAACAGAGAUUGAAUACUGUUUCUAUCCAAUACCUCACUUGGCCCUGCCACACGCAGAGGGGUAAGGUCUCUUGGGGCCUUGUCUGGUCCUGUUAGAUCAAUGUAGGCUCAACAGCUGAAUACUUACAUGAGGGGGACAGAGUGAGAGGGGUCAAAAACCUACCCAGAUAUUUGCCAGUAUCUCCCUAAGGAUUUUGGCUUCAUGGUGAGAUAGAUGUUGUCAUCCUUUCUCUUCCCCUCUUAAGCAUCUCAAGUCAUAGUUCAAACCGCCAGCUUCGUAUUAACUCAUUUCCAUGACAACAAAUUACUACUCUUUCCCUUUUUCUCUUCCUCCAUCACUUACACAUGAUACAGAAGGGGCGGGGAUGUCAGUAUAUUUUCACACCAAGAGUAGGGACUUGUGUGAACAAGAAAAAUGUGCCUCAUUAACUAUUAUCAAGCACUAGAAAAAAAAAUAUAUAUGAAGAGAUUGAUCUUUUCCCCCCCAGAGAUACAAAUUACAUUUAAUUCUUCCAAAAAGCAGUAAAGCAAAUGCAACUCCUUUAAAAACACAAUUAAUUAUAGGCCAAGUCCUUUGGAAUGAUAAUAAUUUUUCUUUAAUCAUAGAGUAUCUUUUAUAGACUUUGUGUUUCAGGUAGAGACUGCACAGGAGAAUUUCCCAGAAGACCUCAGCCAACCCACAGUAACGUGGAAAAUUUCCAUUUUAGUCAAAGGUGAAAAAUCUGCCUUUUUGUUUUUUUUACAAAGAGAACUCCUAGAAACACCAAAUAGUCUGUAUGAGCAACCUUCGCAAAAAGAGUUACACCUGAAGGGCCACCAAUUCUAGAAAAAAAGAGUAAAGAGGAGAGGGUGUUUUGUUUUGUUUUAAUAUAAUUACUCUUUUUGCUUUCCAGAUAUGAAAGUGUGGGCCUGCACUUGGGCAAUUUCUCAGAGACACAAAAUGCUGUGGUGGAAACAAGAUCUCUUCACUGUGUUCUGAGUUUAUAUAGAACAACUGAUCACUGAGAGAAAAAGGUUAUGUGUAAAAUCAGCCUCAUCCUAAAAUAAUAAUGAGCCAAGUUGUGGACUGUGUAAUGCUCAAGAGUCACUUGGUAACCCUAGUGGGUGGAAUGGUGCCCCCCCCCCCCAAAGAUAUGUCCACAUCCUAAUUCCCAAAACCUAUGAAUGUGACCUUUUUUGGAAAAGGAGUUGUUGGAGAUGUGAUUAAUUUAAGCAUCUUGAGAUGAGGAGAUCAUCCUGGAUUAUCCAGAUGGGCCCUAAAUCCAAUCACAGGUGUCCUUAUAAGAGGCACAGAGGAAACACACAGAAGAGGGGGAGGCAAUGUGAUCACGGAAGCAGAGGUGGGAGUGAUGCAGGCACACAUCGAGGAACGCCAACAGCCACCGGAAGCUGGAAGAAACAACAGAUUCUCCUCUAGAACCUCUAGAGGGAGUGUGGUCCUGCCAACGCCUUGAGAUUUUAAAGAUUUUAUUUUUUUUUCCCUUUUCUCCCAAAGCCCCCCGGUACAUAGCUGUGUA